AUGAAGCCAAAAGUGGACGGUGGUCUGGGUUUCAGAAAUUUGCACUUCUUCAAUCUAGCCAUGUUGGCGAGGAAGGCAUGAAGAAUCCUACAAAAUCCCCAUUCACUCUGCUCACAUGCCUUGGCUGCUAGAUACUUCCCCAAUGGCUCAAUGCUAGAAGCCACUCCAGUAGCAGGUAUCUCUUACACAUGGAGCAACAUACUAAAAGGGAUGCAACUGCUGAAAAAAGGGAUUAUAUGGCGAGUGGUCAAUGGUGAGAACAUCAAAAUUUGGAGUGAUCCUUGGAUCCCUAGAGGAAGCACAAGGAGAAUUAUCAUGCCCAGGGAAAGGAAUCUCACUACUAAGGUAUCUGAACUCAUUAAUCCCAUCACCAACCAGUGGGAUGCAGAUCUGAUUCAACAGAUAUUCUGGCCGGAAGAUGCCCAAGUCAUCCUCCAAAUACCCCUAUAAGAACAAACAUGUGAUGUCCUUGGAUGGCAUUAUGAUAAAAAAGGAGUAUUUUCUGUUAAAUCG
RNAcentral lists this ribosomal RNA (513 nucleotides) under Triticum aestivum (bread wheat). RNAcentral's name for it is "partial small subunit ribosomal RNA". Lineage: Eukaryota; Viridiplantae; Streptophyta; Magnoliopsida; Poales; Poaceae. The record is from RNAcentral.